RNAcentral lists this long non-coding RNA (1098 nucleotides) under Pan troglodytes (chimpanzee). RNAcentral describes it as "lincRNA". Lineage: Eukaryota; Metazoa; Chordata; Mammalia; Primates; Hominidae. The record is from RNAcentral.
AAAAUGGGGACGUCGGGAGCAUUCUCUGGACAGCAGGAGAUGCAUGUCGACAAGCUGGCCCUGCCUCUUCCCACUCCAGAGUGAUGCAGCGGUGUCCUGGACCCCUGGGGAGAGGUGACCCCCCCCCCCAGCAGGAAGCUGGGCCUGGUUUCUGUCCCUCUGCAGCCACAAGGCCUGGCCAGGAUGCUGGGAGCACCACACCCUGGAGACUCAGCUCACCAAGGACUCAGGGGCGGGGGAUCCCCUGGCACCUGGGAAGCUGGGCCCCCGGCCCCCUGGACUCCCACCCAGACACCAUCUCAACCCAGGCACUUCCCCCGGGCCAGAGGGCAGCCUGGCAGCCCUGGACUCUGGGAGGGCCGAGUCUGGGGAGCUGGAGGACGUCACAUUCCACUCUUGAUGAUGCCGCCCCAGUCCUACAAUCUGGACAGCAGGAGAAGCUGCCCAUUUCCUCCAUCUCCGGUCCCUGGAGGUUCCCCGGAUCCUUUCAGGGGAGACCAUGGGCCCUAAACGAUCUUCAUAACAAAACUGAGAAGUGGCCUGGCUUCUUCACUGUGCACCUGUGUGCUGGGAUCCAGCGUGGUCUGACUGGGCAGCUCCUUUCCUUCCCUGACGCUGCUCCAGGAGAAAGAAGGACCAGGGUCAAUCCGGGGUGCCCCAGGUGGAUCAGCGAAUGCCCCUGAAGCCAGGUGCCAGUUGCAUCCCCGUCCGAUGCCCCCACCCCAGUCUCCUGAGCCUCAUUAGUCACCCCUCAUUUUCCUCUGGGGACCCCAGGCCCCAGCUCCUGUCUGGUUAGAGGCUGAAGGGGUCUGAGCGACACCUACCCUAGGGGACCUCCGGAGGGGUCUUGGUGUCCUCUGACUUCUAUCCUCAGAAGGGAGCUCAGAAUGCAGCUGAGGCUUCCCCUGGGGCCCAGGGUGUCUGUGUCCGAGCCACAGCCAGAGUGUGCCCUGGAGAGCCGCUGGGAUGCACGGUGGGCUCUCGUCAUCCUGUCCCCACUCCAGGCUUAGGCUGGAGCCGUGAUGGCACCGCUGCACUCCAACCUGGGCAACAGAGUGAGACCCUGUCUCUAUAAAAUAAAAACAAAAAUAAAGAAGA